This 253-nucleotide ribosomal RNA is filed under the name uncultured bacterium. Its description in RNAcentral is "partial 16S ribosomal RNA". It matches the Rfam family "Bacterial small subunit ribosomal RNA", at positions 524 to 776 of the family's 1533-position model. The record is from RNAcentral.
UACGGGGGGGGCAAGCGUUGUUCGGAAUUACUGGGCGUAAAGGGCUCGCAGGCGGCCAACUAAGUCAGACGUGAAAUCCCUCGGCUUAACCGGGGAACUGCGUCUGAUACUGGAUGGCUAGAGUUUGGGAGAGGGAUGCGGAAUUCCAGGUGUAGCGGUGAAAUGCGUAGAUAUCUGGAGGAAUACCGGUGGCGAAGGCGGCAUCCUGGACCAAUACUGACGCUGAGGCGCGAAAGCUAGGGGAGCAAACGGG